Molecule: ribosomal RNA, 2825 nt
Filed under: Oceanibium sediminis
Lineage: Bacteria; Pseudomonadati; Pseudomonadota; Alphaproteobacteria; Rhodobacterales; Paracoccaceae
Description: bacterial LSU rRNA
Rfam family: Bacterial large subunit ribosomal RNA
Source: RNAcentral
UCAAGCGCGAUAAGGGCGUUUGGUGGAUGCCUUGGCAGCAAGAGGCGAUGAAGGACGUGAUAAUCUGCGAUAAGCCUGGGGGAGCCGAUAAUAGGCCUUGAUCCCGGGAUCUCCGAAUGGGGCAACCCACCUGAUACUCGGUUAUUGAGAGCCGCAAGGUUCUCAUUAAUUGGGUAAACCAGGUACUUUUUUCCUGAAUACAUAGGGUUAAAAGAGCAAACCCGGGGAACUGAAACAUCUCAGUACCCGGAGGAAAGGAAAUCAACCGAUACUCCGUUAGUAGCGGCGAGCGAACGCGGACCAGCCGAGCCUUGAGAGUGAGUGGAACCAGUUGGGAAGCUGGGCAAUAUGGGUGACAGCCCCGUACACGAAGCUUGAUAGGACGUAUUAAGUAGGGCGGGACACGUGAAAUCCUGUCUGAAGAUCGGGGGACCACCCUCGAAGGCUAAGUACUCCUUGCUGACCGAUAGCGAACCAGUACCGUGAGGGAAAGGUGAAAAGCACCCCGACAAGGGGAGUGAAACAGUUCCUGAAACCGGACGCCUACAAACAGUCGGAGCAUUCUUCGGAAUGUGACGGCGUACCUUUUGUAUAAUGGGUCAACGACUUGGUCUUACGAGCAAGCUUAAGCCGAUAGGUGUAGGCGCAGCGAAAGCGAGUCUUAAUAGGGCGCAUGAGUUCGUGGGAUCAGACCCGAAACCAGGUGAUCUAGGCAUGUGCAGGCUGAAGGUGCGGUAACACGCACUGGAGGGCCGAACCCACACCCGUUGAAAAGGGUCGGGAUGACGUGUGCCUAGGGGUGAAAGGCCAAUCAAACCUGGAGAUAGCUGGUUCUCCGCGAAAUCUAUUUAGGUAGAGCGUCGAUUGAAUACCGCCGGGGGUAGAGCACUGGAUGGGUAAUGGGGACCCACAGUCUUACUGAUCCUAACCAAACUCCGAAUACCGGCGAGUACUGAUCGGCAGACACACGGCGGAUGCUAACGUCCGUCGUGGAGAGGGAAACAACCCUGAUCUGCAGCUAAGGCCCCUAAUUCAUGGCUAAGUGGGAAAGCAGGUGAGACGACCAAAACAACCAGGAUGUUGGCUUAGAAGCAGCCAUCAUUUAAAGAUAGCGUAACAGCUCACUGGUCUAGAUAAGUUGUCUUGCGGCGAAGAUGUACCGGGGCUCAAGCCAUGAGCCGAAGCUCGGAACUGCGCAAGCAGUGGUAGCGGAGCGUAGUGUUCAUAAACUCUUGCCUCUUUAUGGCCUUCGGGUCAUGCGGAGGCAUUGGGUUUUGCGAUGAAGUCGUCCUGUAAGGGGCGGUGGAGCGUUCACUAGCGAGAAUGUUGACAUGAGUAGCGACAAAGAGGGUGAGAGACCCUCUCGCCGAAAGUCCAAGGGUUCCUGCUUAAAGCUAAUCUGAGCAGGGUAAGCCGACCCCUAAGGCGAGGCCGAAAGGCGUAGUCGAUGGGAACCAGGUUAAUAUUCCUGGGCCAGGAGGAAGUGACGGUUCGCAAGUGUAGUUGACCCUUAUCGGAUUGGGUUGGCUGCUGAGCGGAUCCUGGAAAUAGCCCUCCAUGAGAUCGUACCCUAAACCGACACAGGUGGACAGGUAGAGCAUACCAAGGCGCUUGAGAGAACUACGUUGAAGGAACUCGGCAAAAUACCUCCGUAAGUUCGCGAGAAGGAGGCCCUGUCAGGAGGCAACUCUUGGCGGGGGGCACAAACCAGGGGGUGGCGACUGUUUACUAAAAACACAGGGCUCUGCGAAGCCGUAAGGCGACGUAUAGGGUCUGACGCCUGCCCGGUGCCGGAAGGUUAAAAGGAGGGGUGAGAGCUCCGAAUUGAAGCCCCGGUAAACGGCGGCCGUAACUAUAACGGUCCUAAGGUAGCGAAAUUCCUUGUCGGGUAAGUUCCGACCUGCACGAAUGGCGUAACGACUUCCCCGCUGUCUCCAACGUAGACUCAGCGAAAUUGAAUUCCCCGUGAAGAUGCGGGGUACCCGCGGUCAGACGGAAAGACCCCGUGCACCUUUACUACAGCUUCAGACUGGCAUUAGUCCUGUCAUGUGCAGGAUAGGCGGUAGGCUUUGAACCAGGGACGCCAGUCCUUGGGGAGCCAUCCUUGAGAUACCGCCCUUGAUACGAUUGAUGUCUAACCGCGGUCCGUUAUCCGGAUCCGGGACCCUCUGUGGCGGGUAGUUUGACUGGGGCGGUCGCCUCCUAAAGAGUAACGGAGGCGCGCGAUGGUGGGCUCAGGUUGGUCGGAAAUCAACCGUCGAGUGCAAUGGCAUAAGCCCGCCUGACUGCGAGACUGACAAGUCGAGCAGAGUCGAAAGACGGCCAUAGUGAUCCGGUGGUCCCAAGUGGGAGGGCCAUCGCUCAACGGAUAAAAGGUACGCCGGGGAUAACAGGCUGAUACUGCCCAAGAGUCCAUAUCGACGGCAGUGUUUGGCACCUCGAUGUCGGCUCAUCUCAUCCUGGGGCUGGAGCAGGUCCCAAGGGUACGGCUGUUCGCCGUUUAAAGAGGUACGUGAGCUGGGUUUAGAACGUCGUGAGACAGUUCGGUCCCUAUCUGCCGUGGGUGUUGGAGACUUGAGAGGAGUUGCCCCUAGUACGAGAGGACCGGGGUGAACGCACCACUGGUGGACCAGUUGUCGUGCCAACGGCAGUGCUGGGUAGCUAUGUGCGGACAGGAUAACCGCUGAAAGCAUCUAAGCGGGAAGCCCCCCUCAAAACCAGGUCUCCCUGAGGGCCGUGGAAGACCACCACGUCGAUAGGCCGGAGGUGUACGUGCAGCAAUGCACUCAGCUGACCGGUACUAAUUGCCCGAUAGGCUUGAUUUG